Gossypium arboreum is the source of this 704-nucleotide long non-coding RNA. RefSeq lists it as uncharacterized. The transcript is spliced from 2 exons. Lineage: Eukaryota; Viridiplantae; Streptophyta; Magnoliopsida; Malvales; Malvaceae. The record is from RefSeq and is a predicted model, not a curated record.
GGAGAUCAAGAGUCAUUUAUUUGCCAGAUGCGUCCAAAAGGCGAGAUGGCGGCCUCCUGAAGGGUCGUUUGUGAAGAUAACUUUUGAUGCUUCUUUUUAACGACAAUUGUUAAAAUCAUGCUCGAGGAGAAGCGAUUGCAUGCCUCGAAGGAGUUCAGAUGGGCUUGGAUCUUGGGUUCCAGAGGGUGAUUUUGGAAGGGGAUAGUCUCACAGCGGUGAAGAAAUUGUAAAAUAAAAAUAAAGAUAUCUCAGAGAUCAACCCUAUUAUGGAAGAUGUGAAAAGAGCCAGUCAGGGGCUUCGUAGAGUGUAGAUUUAAUUUUGUGGGGAGAAAUACAAACGAGACAUCACAUCGGUUGGCAAAAGAAGGAUUAGUCAAUGGUAAAACUUUUUACCUGAUGGAGAGCAAGGCCAAAGCAGCGGAAGAAGAUAGUCGUUGGGCUGAGUUAAGGCAUCUGCAUCGUUUUGGUUUCCUUGGGAGGAAAUUAAAGAUUUCUGCGUGUGAAGUCUCUAUCUACUUUUCCAGAAUUGUCAUAAAUGAGUUGUUUCUUCAUAUUAAUUAUGCCUUUAGUGGAGCAGCUCUUUUAAGUUUGGGUUUUGAGCUUGUCAAAUUUGACUGUUGAUGUUUGUUUGUUUUAUUUCUUUUCCUAAUGAAUAAACGUGUGGCCCGGCCUAUUUAUCAAAAAAAAAAAAAUUUUGGUUAAAA